AUUGAACGCUGGCGGCAGGCCUAACACAUGCAAGUCGAGCGGAUGAAGGGAGCUUGCUCCUGGAUUCAGCGGCGGAAGGGUGAGUAAUGCCUAGGAAUCUGCCUGGUAGUGGGGGGUAACGUCUGGAAACGGGCGCUAAUACUGCCGACGUCCUGCGGGAGAAGGUGGGGGAUCUUCGGACCUCUCGCUAUCAGAUGAGUCUAGGUCGGAUUAGCUAGUUUGUGGGGUGAAGGCCUACCAAGGCGAGGAUCCGUAACUGGUCUGAGAGGCUGAUCAGUCACACUGGAACGUAGACACGGUCCAGACUCCUACGGGAGGCACCAGAGGGGAAUAUUGGACAAUAGUCGGAAACCUGAUCCAGCGAGGCCGCGUGUGUGAAGAAGGUCUUCGGAUUGUAAAGCACUUUAAGUUGGGAGGAAGGGCAGUAAGUUAAUACCUUGCGGGUUUGACGUUACCAACAGAAGAAGCACCGGCUAACUUCGUG
RNAcentral lists this ribosomal RNA (484 nucleotides) under uncultured bacterium. RNAcentral describes it as "partial 16S ribosomal RNA". It matches the Rfam family "Bacterial small subunit ribosomal RNA", at positions 30 to 507 of the family's 1533-position model. The record is from RNAcentral.